AAUCAAGCGUUUAAGGGCGUGUAGUGGAUGCCUUGGCACUGAAAGCCGAUGAAGGACGUGAUAUACUGCGAUAAGUUUCGGGGAGCUGUAUGUAAGUUUUGAUCCGAAAAUUUCCGAAUGGGGAAACCCACCACUUUAUGUGGUACUUUAAACUGAAUACAUAGGUUUAAAGAGACAACCUGGAGAACUGAAACAUCUAAGUAACCAGAGGAAAAGAAAUCAAUUGAGAUUCCGUUAGUAGUGGCGAGCGAACGCGGACUAGGCCAGUAGUUUUGUUAAAAAAAUUUGAAUAGUUUGGAAAUGCUAACCAUAGAGGG
This 317-nucleotide ribosomal RNA is filed under the name Candidatus Pelagibacter sp. Its description in RNAcentral is "partial 23S ribosomal RNA". It matches the Rfam family "Bacterial large subunit ribosomal RNA", at positions 1 to 364 of the family's 2925-position model. Lineage: Bacteria; Pseudomonadati; Pseudomonadota; Alphaproteobacteria; Candidatus Pelagibacterales; Candidatus Pelagibacteraceae. The record is from RNAcentral.